AGGGAUGUCCCUGGGGUGGCAGGGGUGUCCCCAGGGUGGCAGGGAUGUCCCUGGGGUGGCAGGGAAUCCCCAGGGUGGCAGGGAUGUCCCUGGGGUGGCAGGGGAAGUCCCCAGGGUGGCAGGGAUGUCCCUGGGGUGGCAGGGGUGUCCCCAGGGUGGCA
Molecule: long non-coding RNA, 161 nt
Organism: Corvus hawaiiensis (hawaiian crow)
Lineage: Eukaryota; Metazoa; Chordata; Aves; Passeriformes; Corvidae
Exons: 3
Source: RefSeq, a predicted model, not a curated record